This 198-nucleotide ribosomal RNA is filed under the name uncultured bacterium. RNAcentral describes it as "partial 16S ribosomal RNA". It matches the Rfam family "Bacterial small subunit ribosomal RNA", at positions 328 to 539 of the family's 1533-position model. The record is from RNAcentral.
ACGCUCGACACCUACGGGAGGCUGCAGUGGGGAAUAUUGCACAAUGGGGGAAACCCUGAUGCAGCGACGCCGCGUGAAGGAAGAAGUAUUUCGGUAUGUAAACUUCUAUCAGCAGGGAAGAAACUGACGGUACCUGACUAAGAAGCACCGGCUAAAUACGUGCCAGUAGCCGCGGUAAUCUGAGCGGGCUGGCAAGGC